Molecule: long non-coding RNA, 1521 nt
Filed under: Homo sapiens (human)
Lineage: Eukaryota; Metazoa; Chordata; Mammalia; Primates; Hominidae
Description: HSALNT0325053
Source: RNAcentral
GCUCAAGAGACCUGUUCACAUUUAAUUAUAGACAAAUUUGUUAUUUCUCCUUUCUGUGCUUUAGCCUUUCCUUGGUUUUAACACUCAAAAUGGUAAGAAAAACUACUUCAUGGGACUCAAUGAAUAUGUAAAUGACUGGCAAUACCCACAGGAAGUCCAUUAUAAUUAAAUUUAUCAUGCUCCCAGCUAAGUCUGAUUCAUUAUGAGGAAGUCAGUUUUCAGAUGGUUUUAAAUUAACCCUAGAAUAAAAUAUUAGUAUCCAGUUCCUUCCCGUGCAGCACUAUUAACAGUCAUCCAGUCGCAGUGAUUUAAAUAGCACUCCAUUAGGAAGUCGAGCCAGAGGAAUGCCCCUACAGAAGUCAAAGAAAAUGAAAUAACUUGAUACGUGCAUAGCCCUCUUUUGCAUUGCAUACCAGCUAAGUUCCUAGAUGAAUAUGUUUACAUUAUGACAUCACAAUAUGUUGAUUCCCGUCUGGUCAGAGUUCCAAGGAACUUAUGCUACAAUCUUCCUUCCCAGAGUCACUGGUGAAAACUCUACAUCUAUGGAAGCGAUGCUGGGUUAUAAAGUUGUUUCUAUGAGCCUGUUUGAAGAAAUUAACUCAAGCAUAGCAAACCAAAUUCUCUCUCUUGGGACUUUAUAUCCUGAGCAAGUGACUUCAGAUGAUGGAGCCAGAUGGUGACUGUAUUAUUCCUGGGGGUAAUGAUGAUGUUGUGCUGACCAAAAUCUUCCCAUGGCAUGCACUUUGGUCUGCUCACCACUGUCCAGCCCCCCUUGAUGCCUGUUCAGUUCUCAAGCACGGACUUUCAGUUUUUCCUCCAAGCACAUGAGAGGAUUCUAGUGAAUCCCAUUUUGUAUUAAGACGGCCAGAAUCAAAUUCCUCUGUUAGUAACCAGAACGUGAUUUCCACUGACAUUCAGCCUUCUCCCUUUCCUCACAUUCUCAGAAAAUAAUUAUCAUCUUGCUGGCAUCUAGUACUUUUUUCUGUACUGUAAAGGGAGCAAAGAGGGAGGAAGAGAAGUUUUACUGGUGUGUCCAAGGAGCAUUAUGGCAAGUAAAGGUGAUCCUGGAACAUCCAUCUGGGACUGUAAACUCUCUGAGGCCCCCACCUGAAGCAGACGCCAGCACCAUGCUUCCUGUACAGUCUGCAGAACCAUGGUUUUUCACUCUGUUGUCCAGGCUGGCACGACCUCGGCUCACUGCAACCUCCACCUCCAGGGUACAAGCGAUUCUCCUGCCUCAGCCUCUGGAGUAGCUGGGAUUACAGGAAUGAGGAGAGAUGGCCUUGGUGGUCCUCCUUAGGUUGGCAACAUCCAGAUGCAAUUGUUCACAUACCAGCUUCUCAUAGCGCUACCAAAAGUCUUCAACUCUUUAAUUGGGCCUCUCAUGCCAAGAACCAGGAAGAGGCACAAAAUUCCUCACUGAGAUACGGUGUGUUCUACUUCCAUGACUUCCACACACCAUUCUUAGAAAUAGGAGGUGAGCAUGAACAGAAGGAAAAGGAAAAAUAUCAUUCAUGUCUG